RNAcentral lists this long non-coding RNA (180 nucleotides) under Oncorhynchus mykiss (rainbow trout). Its description in RNAcentral is "lncRNA (ENSOMYG00000058321.1)". The record is from RNAcentral. Lineage: Eukaryota; Metazoa; Chordata; Actinopteri; Salmoniformes; Salmonidae.
CUCUCUCUCUUCCCCCUACAGGUUGAAGUCACACCCAAGUUAAUUCUUCAAUUAGCGUGAGCCAGAUAUUCCGGUAAGAUCGGAGGGCCCGCCAAUCGAUGUCCAAUUAGCGAGGCUUCGUGGCCCGGGGGGUCUAAGCCUGUCACAGCCUCGGCCAAUCGCAGCCUGCGUUAGAGGUGG